UGUAUCUGAAGUCUGACGAGGAUGAGAACCUCCGGGGGCAAGAGGUUCGACUCGAGCGAAGCGAGAGAACGUUGCGUCAGCAACGGCCCGCAGGGCGAGUCAUCCUCUAUCACCGGCAG
Molecule: small RNA, 119 nt
Filed under: Salmonella enterica
Lineage: Bacteria; Pseudomonadati; Pseudomonadota; Gammaproteobacteria; Enterobacterales; Enterobacteriaceae
Also listed under: 3 other names
Description: RtT sRNA
Rfam family: RtT RNA
About the family: This family represents a bacterial cis-regulatory element known as RtT RNA.
Source: RNAcentral